GGAGGUACAGCUCAGUGGUAGAGAGCAUGCCUAGAACGUACAAGGUCCUGGGUUCAAUCCCCAAUACCUCCA
Molecule: transfer RNA, 72 nt
Filed under: Camelus bactrianus (Bactrian camel)
Lineage: Eukaryota; Metazoa; Chordata; Mammalia; Artiodactyla; Camelidae
Also listed under: 3 other names
Rfam family: tRNA
About the family: Transfer RNA (tRNA) molecules are approximately 80 nucleotides in length.
Source: Rfam by way of RNAcentral